Molecule: ribosomal RNA, 772 nt
Filed under: Salmonella enterica
Lineage: Bacteria; Pseudomonadati; Pseudomonadota; Gammaproteobacteria; Enterobacterales; Enterobacteriaceae
Description: bacterial LSU rRNA
Rfam family: Bacterial large subunit ribosomal RNA
Source: RNAcentral
GUGACUGCGUACCUUUUGUAUAAUGGGUCAGCGACUUAUAUUCUGUAGCAAGGUUAACCGUAUAGGGGAGCCGGAGGGAAACCGAGUCUUAACCGGGCGUUAAGUUGCAGGGUAUAGACCCGAAACCCGGUGAUCUAGCCAUGGGCAGGUUGAAGGUUGGGUAACACUAACUGGAGGACCGAACCGACUAAUGUUGAAAAAUUAGCGGAUGACCUGUGGCUGGGGGUGAAAGGCCAAUCAAACCGGGAGAUAGCUGGUUCUCCCCGAAAGCUAUUUAGGUAGCGCCUCGUGAAUUCAUCUCCGGGGGUAGAGCACUGUUUCGGCUAGGGGGCCAUCCCGGCUUACCAACCCGAUGCAAACUGCGAAUACCGGAGAAUGUUAUCACGGGAGACACACGGCGGGUGCUAACGUCCGUCGUGAAGAGGGAAACAACCCAGACCGCCAGCUAAGGUCCCAAAGUCAUGGUUAAGUGGGAAACGAUGUGGGAAGGCCCAGACAGCCAGGAUGUUGGCUUAGAAGCAGCCAUCAUUUAAAGAAAGCGUAAUAGCUCACUGGUCGAGUCGGCCUGCGCGGAAGAUGUAACGGGGCUAAACCAUGCACCGAAGCUGCGGCAGCGACACUGUGUGUUGUUGGGUAGGGGAGCGUUCUGUAAGCCUGUGAAGGUGUGUCGUGAGGCAUGCUGGAGGUAUCAGAAGUGCGAAUGCUGACAUAAGUAACGAUAAAGCGGGUGAAAAGCCCGCUCGCCGGAAGACCAAGGGUUCCUGUCCAACGU